RNAcentral lists this long non-coding RNA (2618 nucleotides) under Gallus gallus (chicken). RNAcentral describes it as "lncRNA (ENSGALG00010015849.1)". Lineage: Eukaryota; Metazoa; Chordata; Aves; Galliformes; Phasianidae. The record is from RNAcentral.
AGGAGAUGUCCCUUCAAAAGUACCACUUGCAGAGUGGAAGCCUCUUUGAGAGUUGUAAAACCACAAAACUCAACUUAUGCACUCUUAUAGCUGAAUUAAUCAGUUUUCAAUUUGUCAUCCCUCUAGCCUUAUACAGGAUAGAACUGUACUUAAUACUUGAAUGCAUAAUAUUCACACAUACACACACACGGACACUGUUCAUCCGUUGCCUCUUAAAUGACAGAACAAUAUCUGAUUUUUGCUCAGAAUGGAGAUUUUGAGCAAUAAAGUGUUCAUGUUCAAGAUGAAGCUUUCUCCCAAAUUAAUUCAGCUCUUUCCCUUCGUCCUCUUUCAUGGUGUUAAGGGAAGCCACCUUUGCAGAUUUCUUCUCUCAGGUUAUCUUACCCAUUAGCCUAUACUCAUCAUCACUAGAAAAAUCCAAAUGAAAGACAGAACUCUUUAAUCUUAUAGUGAAACACAAAUCUGUUAUAAAUUCUCAUCGUUUUUUGAGAAGUUUUCUUAAAAAAGGCCACUAUGUGCAUGACCUGUUCUCAAACGAGAUUUUACAUAAAUUACAAAUAUACAUGUGCACACACAUGAACAUUUUUGCACGCAGGAAUGCACUCGAAUAUAUAUACACACACACAGUCUCUUAUACAGUGUCAAAAAUAGCUCUGGAGUUAUAGAUGGCCUUAUUGCUAUACAAUCACCAUGGAAACUAUUGUCUCCAUUGGCAAAGAAUAUUUUUGUUUGUAUUUAUUCUGUCUCUUCUUAUUACUUGCACUGUAGUUCUUUUAAUUUUCUGCUUCCUUCCAUUCCUACCCCAGGAGCAAAAGAUGAUAGUAUUAUCUGAAAAGAGUUACCGGUCAGGGGAUUGAACAGGCUGAAAGAAAAGCCAGGGAUUCCUCCUUUUGUCUUGAGAGUGAAACAAGGUGAAAGAGGGCUCAAGGGGAGCAAAUGAAGCAGACAGCCCAGACCUGUGCCUGGAGACAUAACUGGAGAACCAAGCAGUGUGCCCUGCUGUUGCAGAGAACAAAGGACUACGUGGGAAUCUGAGCUACACAGGAGGCUGACAACCAGAAGAAUUGAGCGAUCAUGCCCUCAGACUUUUUCUUUGAUGGUGCAGGUGAAGGAGAACAGAAACAUGAAAAUACUUCAGCUCUUCAGGCUCUCUUACUCUUUCUCUGCAGAAACCAUUUUGUGCAGUGCUCCAGGAGCCAGCUGCUUCACUUCAAUCAAGCACAGCACAGUUUCAGGGUAACUAAAAGAAAAUGAAGGAAAGGAAAUGCCUCUCCUCCGAAGUAGCUUACAUAAAGGCAUUGGAAAGAAGGCCUAAUUCUUCUACUGGGUAAAAUAUUUUUCAUUUAGACCUGAAAAUGGAUGCAAUUUUCUGCAGAUAAAACUGUUUAGUGAGAUGUGCAGAAUACUGGCAUAUCCAUCUGGCGAAGUUUCACAUGGCAGUGCCCCUGUUUUUCAGUGCUGUUCAUGUCAUUUUUUCAUGGGGCAGAAGCAGAGCUUGCAGCACUCAUAGCCAAGCAGUGCUAAGUGGCGCCAAGCAGUGCUAAGUGGCAUCAAGCAGACUCAUGUCCAACUUUCUGGAAAAGUGCAUGGGAAUUACAAAUGGAGCUCUGAGGAUCAAGCAGGGAGAUGAACAGGGAAUUUGUUAGGGGAUAAAGGAUAAUCUAUGCUAUCAAAGAGAGAGCAGAAAUGAGCCUGAGUCCAGCCAAGAAAAAGAGCAGAAGAGGUGCUCCCAUCACAGCAGAUCAGCUCUGAAGGCCACAUGGUGCCUUGGGUACAUGGAUAAGCUUGGUUUGAAGAGAACAAGAGCAGCUGAGUGUGCAACUUAAAUGAUGUUGGUGCUGUCUCUCCAUGAGUAGGGCCAACAGUGGGCAGCUUCAGGAGGGCAUGUAGGUUUGGAGCAGGUGAAAGUAGCAGUUCUAUAGAAAGCUGCAGUGUUUCAUAGAGUCAUAGAGUCAUAGACCAGUUUCAUAGAGUCAUAGAAUAGAAUCACAGAAUUGUUUGAUUUGGAAGGGACCUUUAAAGAUCAUCUAAUCCAACUCUCCUGCAAUGAACAGAGACACCUACUGCUACAUCAGACGUUCAGAAUCUCUUCCAGCCUCACCUUGAAAGUCUUCAAGGACAGAUUGUGUUGCUUUGGACUGCUUUGAUUGCUUCAUGAGUCAAGGAAACCAAGCAUACUCAAAAAAAGUUGACUGUAUGUGAGCCAACAAGUACUGCAGGACUUUUCUCUCAUAAAUCUGUGUGUAGUUAAGAAGAUACUUGAAUGUAGUAAAAUUAGAGAAUCUGAGUUUUGACAGCAAUGCUAGGAAUUCCUUGGAUAGAGAUGGGGGAGAAAGAAAGAGGUGCAGGUGCUGUUACUUCAAUAUUUUGUUAGCUGCUUGGUGUUACUCUUAGUUCUUAUGCCAGGUGUUGGUGCCAGGUGUUUUGAACAGCAACAACUGUUAGGUACAGCUGUAUCCACCAUGCAAAGUCAAGAAAUUAGACAGUGCUCUGCUUUUUCAAAAAGGACAGCAGAUGUUAAUAUCUUGUAACUUUUGACUGUGAAGGGAAGAACAAACAAAACCUUUUCUACUGACAAUGUUUAAACAAGUUCUAAGGCAGGCUGCUUUAUCCUUUCC